Molecule: unclassified non-coding RNA, 155 nt
Filed under: uncultured fungus
Lineage: Eukaryota; Fungi
Description: sequence contains ITS1
Source: RNAcentral
CUAAAUGAACCGCCAGUUCUCUUUGCUCCGGCAGAGAUUGAGCAGGCAUCAACCCUUUGUGAACUGUAAUUGUACUUGGGUACACUUUGCCUAGUGUAAAGCGUACCCGCCUUAAUAACUCCUAUAUGUUUAUCUGAAUAGUGACCUAAGAGAUA